AUAGCUUUCAAGAUUUUCUCUCUUAUUCUCUCUUACAUAGCAGAAGCCCUAAAAUUCCACUAGGGUUCUUUGAAAACCUUCCUUCCAAGUUAAAGGGAUCAAGCUAUUGAAGAGAUAUACAUUAAGGGAAUAAACUACCACCGAAAUUAAGAUUAGUAGUCUAAAAGGGAAGACGUUAAGUGAAAGUGUGAUCAGUUGUGCAGCAAGUCACUUCAUGAUACAAGCACAAUGUGCCUCAAGAGCACAAGAUAUUGUCUAAGGUUCAAGGCUUCGGAAUCGGCAAGCAAUUAAAGACUUUUUGGAGUAUUUUGAAGCCUUGGUCAAGAGAAAGAAGGAGGGGAAUUUAUACACUCCAUAGGCACCUCAAAGGAAGGACAAUGAAGACUUUUUACACUCUAAAAGAGCACUCUAUAGGUGCCUCCUUUUAAGUCCUCAUCAAUGGCACUUUUGUCCUUCGGUAUGUAUUAGUAUAAAUAGGCCAUUUAGCUUGUAUUUUCAUUAGACUUUGAUGGAUUCAAAUUGAGUAUUACUCAUAUUUUGUAGCUUUAGUCUGGUUGUUGUAUCUCUUAGAACCAAAACUUGGUCCAUGAACAUUUGAAAGUUAGGAUUUUCACUUGUGUUGGAUGAUUUGGUAAGAAAGAUGUGCUUGAGGAAGUGUGAGUCCUUUGG
Long non-coding RNA from Capsicum annuum, 669 nucleotides. RefSeq lists it as uncharacterized. The record is from RefSeq and is a predicted model, not a curated record. The transcript has 4 exons. Lineage: Eukaryota; Viridiplantae; Streptophyta; Magnoliopsida; Solanales; Solanaceae.